CUGAAAGGGUAUAAAAAGGUCGUGAAUUUGGUGUUAAGCUAACAGUUCAGUGAAUUAAGUUCUAGGUGUAUAGUUCCUUAGACUGAAGACCGAGAAAAAUAGAAGAAUGAAGGGUUAUAUUUUUGGAGUCCUUUUCUUGUUAUGUUUGGUAGUGGUUUUACCAGAGAGCGGCGAGGCAUACUCGGCGGGAACUGGGAGAUUUGGCGACGAAAUUAAGGUGUGGUAUAGAACUUUUUAUAUAUAGUACUUAUUCUUUUACACUAUAGUGACCCAACUUUUGCCUGAAACUGUCGCAUGCAACCUGCUUAUAACUUGAGUUGUACUGUGUAAGUCAAGCAUACAACUCACCUACGACAAUGAAAUUCAAUGUGGCUUUCACACAAUCACAAUUUAUUGUGAAAUAUAAAAAAAAUUUACAUGUGAAAAAGAGAUAAAGAGGUGUUAUCCUUAUAUAAAUUAUCUACAAAAAUGUUUGUGCAUGACUUGAUUCUCUGGUUGUGAUUUGGUUCUGCAUGCAUGCAUGCAGUAACACUGGGGCUAACACUGGACCUCUACAGGCAGAACAUUUUAGAACUGAUAGAGCUAUCUAGUAUAAAUAAAGCUACAGUUCAGUUAUUUUGCGAAAUCAGUUCGACUAUUCCGUCAUCAGACAUGAGUCACAAGGUGGCUACCAGAGGUGCCCUUCGACUCGACCAAGUUGAGUCCUUCGUGAUUCGGAUUAUUAAUUAACUUUGAAGCUGCAAGUAAGGAUGACCAUGACUCAACUAUAUAAUACCAUAGUUAGGGGGGGGGGGCUCACCCUCCAUGGUAAAAAAUUCAAGCCGGUUUGGGGGACUGCAUGACCUCCCAAUAUCUUUGCAGAUUGCAUAUUCAUAACCUGAAAAGUUCUUUGCAACUGUAGUGAAAUGAUGCGGUAAUGAUGUUAGUAAUCUGUACUUAUUAUAAAAUGUGUCUAAAAUACAAGGGAAAUGGCAAUAUAAUUUUUUAUUUUCUCAUUUGCCAGAACUUUUGAAACUAUAUAUUAACUUCUUUUACCGAUUUUUCAUAUCUUGCUUAGUUCUUGAAAUAUUUUCACUUGAAGUAAUGAUAUAUCAGCCAUCUUGGAUAGAUUUUUGAUCUCAUUAACGGUAGUUUUGGUGACGUCACAACAGGGAUUAACCAUCUAAAAGUAUUCGUUGCUGACCAAAUAUUGAUUGGUGGAUAUUUUAAAAGCAAAACCUUUAGUGCAUGACCUUGGUAUUUCGCUGGCAGACAGAGUAUAGUUUUGAGUGCAAAAUGAUUAGUAGUUGCCUAUAUAAAAAUAUUACGUGACAUGCAUAUCUACAAAAAUUGAAGAUGGCGGACAUUUCAUUCCUUUCGAUCAAAAUAUUUGUAGAAGUAAGCGAGAUAUGAAAAAACGGUGAAAGAGUAUUAUAGAUAGCCUUAAAAGUUCUUUCAAAUGAGAAAAUAAAAAAUAUAUUGCCAUUUCCCUUUAAAAAUAGAAAUACUCGAUCAAAGGCCGCGGAACGGUCCACUUUUUUAAAAACACCAAAAUGUGCCUUUUUUUCAGGCGAACGUGCCCUUUUUGAGUCAUGAAAUGUGCCUUAUGGUAUACUACAAAUCCUAAAUACAAGAUCUCAAUAGACAUCUAUACAGCUAAAUGUUGCUUUGGAGUUCUAAUUAUGCAAGAUAUAGCUCAGGUAAAUCUUGUAUUCGACGAUCCCCCCCCCCCAACACACUCGUUUGAGGUAGGCUACGCACUUGCAGCGAAAUUUAGGUGUCCAAUGAACACAGCUAACAACACUUUAUUUGUCACUAUUUCUUAGUUAAAAAGAAUGUUCAACAACCAGUUCCAUUCUCGCGGACAUGCAGGAAUGAGAGGAAAGCCGUUCAAAUAUCAAUAUCAAGUUUUGGAAGAGAAUGAAAAUGAAGUGGUUUAACGAGAGUCUUAUGAAGCGCACAGAAUUGUAAUAUAGCCGGAAUUAAAAAUUUAUAGGAAAUAUCAUUAUGCAAAAAUGUUAAAAAUGAUAUAGCGUAGUUAUAAUUAUGAAUAAAAAUACACAACAAUUAC
Paramuricea clavata is the source of this 2050-nucleotide non-coding RNA. Lineage: Eukaryota; Metazoa; Cnidaria; Anthozoa; Malacalcyonacea; Plexauridae. The record is from the annotation of a GenBank genome assembly.